UCAUGUGUCAGGUAUUUAGAGUAGAUAAUUGAUGACAUGAAGAUGACAUGAAGCUUCCACAUUAUGGAUCCAAAUUUAGCAGCUGGUGUAGAGGGGAAGCAUCACAGUCAAGGCCACCAGUGAUCCUAUCCUACAAAUGCAGUAUGGGAUCUUUUUCUUCCCGUUUGUUGGAACUUUGCACCAUUGCAGCUCGUGGCCGUAUUUGUUUCGACACGGACUUUUGUAUAAUAUUUGGUAGAAUGUUGUGAUAAUUAGAUAGGAUUUUAGAUUCAGGAUUCCUUGGUGUUAUACAAAGAUAUUCUGUAAUUCCAACUUCUUGAAGUCAUUAUUGGUUCACAUGAAAUCUCAUUCUAUGUUGUGGUAUCCUGAGUCUGGCAUUGGGUUGUUAAAACGUAAUAACCAUAGGGAGAUGUUACUUUGUUUUCAAUCAAGCGAGUUCAUCUUUUGCUCUGCUUUUGUCCCCAUGGGUUUUGUAAUAUGAUAUCCUGAGCAUCUUAGGAGUGAUCGAGCAAAAGCGAACGUGUUUCUGUGGCUAUUAGGCGGUUUAUAGUCGAGAUUAAUACAAUUGUACAGCCAAGGGUUUUAUUUUUUCC
Molecule: long non-coding RNA, 593 nt
Organism: Neltuma alba
Lineage: Eukaryota; Viridiplantae; Streptophyta; Magnoliopsida; Fabales; Fabaceae
Exons: 2
Source: RefSeq, a predicted model, not a curated record